UGAGGAAUAUUGGUCAAUGGGCGAGAGCCUGAACCAGCCAAGUAGCGUGAAGGAAGAGUGCCUUACAGGUAAUAAAUUUCUUUUCUUCGGGAGUAAUGACAUCUACGAGUUAGGUGUAGAGUAAGUACCGAAGGAACAAGCAUCGGCUAACUCCGUGCCAGCAGCCGCGGUAAUACGGAAGGUCCGGGCGUUAUCCGGAUUUAUUGGGUUUAAAGGGAGCGUAGGCUGCCCGGAAAGCGUGCUGUGAAAUACAGUGGCCCAACCACUGGACUGCAGCGCGAACUGACGGGCUUGAGGGCGCACGACGCAGGCGGAAUUUGUGGUGUAGCGGUGAAAUGCUUGGAUAUCACGAAGAACCCCGAUUGCGAAGGCAGCUUGCGGGGGCGCGACUGACGCUGAAGCUCGAAAGUGCGGGUAUCAAACAGGAUUAGAUACCCUGGUAGUCCGCACGGUAAACGAUGGAUGCCCGUUCUGCGGCCUUCGGGCCGCGGGACCAAGCGAAAGCAUUAAGCAUCCCACCUGGGGAGUACGCCGGCAACGGUG
RNAcentral lists this ribosomal RNA (543 nucleotides) under uncultured bacterium. Its description in RNAcentral is "bacterial SSU rRNA". It matches the Rfam family "Bacterial small subunit ribosomal RNA", at positions 355 to 896 of the family's 1533-position model. The record is from RNAcentral.